This 486-nucleotide ribosomal RNA is filed under the name Quadraceps obtusus. Its description in RNAcentral is "partial 16S ribosomal RNA". It matches the Rfam family "Bacterial large subunit ribosomal RNA", at positions 1820 to 2597 of the family's 2925-position model. Lineage: Eukaryota; Metazoa; Arthropoda; Insecta; Psocodea; Philopteridae. The record is from RNAcentral.
CUCCUUCUGAUAGAAUAGAAGGUAGGCCCUGCCCGAUGCUGUGAAGUCAAUGGCCGCAGUACUCUGACUGUGCUAAGGUAGCAUAAUCAAUUGGCUCUUAAUUGGAGUCUAGGAUGAAAGGGUUGACAAGCGCCCAACUUUCUUCUUUGAAGGUUUUUAAAUUCGGUUUCAGGUUAAAACCCCUGAAUGAGGGAGAGGGACGACAAGACCCUAUAGAACUGGCCCCCCUCCUCUCUAAGGAGGGAGUGAGGGGGGGUUAUUUGGGAUGAAACGAAGUACAGUGAACACUCGUUAAUAGGGAAGUCUGAUUAGACUAGGAUGAAGAGCCCCUUUUAUGGGAAAAGAAGGAAAGUUUCCUUAGGGAUAACAGCACAAUUCCUCCUCCCAGUACUUAUGGGAGGGGGAGUCUGUGACCUCGAUGUUGAAUUAAGCUGCCCUACUUAAGGAGAGAGAAGGAGGGUUAGUCUGUUCGACUAUUAAAAGCUU